GACGAACGCUGGCGGCGUGCUUAACACAUGCAAGUCGAACGGAAAGGCCCUGCUUUUGUGGGGUGCUCGAGUUGCGAACGGGUGAGUAACACGUGAGUAACCUGCCCUUGACUUUGGGAUAACUUCAGGAAACUGGGGCUAAUACCGGAUAGGAGCUCCUGCUGCAUGGUGGGGGUUGGAAAGUUUCGGUGGUUGGGGAUGGACUCGCGGCUUAUCAGCUUGUUGGUGGGGUAGUGGCUUACCAAGGCUUUGAACGGUAGCCGGCCUGAGAGGGUGACCGGCCACACUGGGACGGAGCUGCGACACGGACUCCUACGCGAGGCAGCAGUGCGGAAUAUUGCACAAUGGGCGGAAGCCUGAUGCAGCAACGCCGCGUGCGGGAUGUGGGCCUUCGGGUUGUAAACCGCUUUCGCCUGUGACGAAGCGUGAGUGACGGUAAUGGGUAAAGAAGCACCGGCUAACUACGUG
RNAcentral lists this ribosomal RNA (468 nucleotides) under uncultured bacterium. RNAcentral describes it as "partial 16S ribosomal RNA". It matches the Rfam family "Bacterial small subunit ribosomal RNA", at positions 28 to 507 of the family's 1533-position model. The record is from RNAcentral.